GUGCUUGCUUAGGCAGCACAUAUACUAAAAUUGGAAUGAUACAGAGAAGAUUAGCAUGGCCCCUGAGGAGAAUGACAUGCAAAUUCAUGAAGUGGUCCAUAUUUUG
This 106-nucleotide small nuclear RNA is filed under the name Jaculus jaculus (lesser Egyptian jerboa). Lineage: Eukaryota; Metazoa; Chordata; Mammalia; Rodentia; Dipodidae. The record is from RNAcentral.